RNAcentral lists this ribosomal RNA (496 nucleotides) under uncultured bacterium. Its description in RNAcentral is "partial 16S ribosomal RNA". It matches the Rfam family "Bacterial small subunit ribosomal RNA", at positions 29 to 507 of the family's 1533-position model. The record is from RNAcentral.
AUGAACGCUGGCGGCGUGCCUAAUACAUGCAAGUCGAGCGAACAGACGAGGAGCUUGCUCCUCUGACGUUAGCGGCGGACGGGUGAGUAACACGUGGAUAACCUACCUAUAAGACUGGGAUAACUUCGGGAAACCGGAGCUAAUACCGGAUAAUAUAUUGAACCGCAUGGUUCAAUAGUGAAAGACGGUUUUGCUGUCACUUAUAGAUGGAUCCGCGCCGCAUUAGCUAGUUGGUAAGGUAACGGCUUACCAAGGCGACGAUGCGUAGCCGACCUGAGAGGGUGAUCGGCCACACUGGAACUGAGACACGGUCCAGACUCCUACGGGAGGCAGCAGUAGGGAAUCUUCCGCAAUGGGCGAAAGCCUGACGGAGCAACGCCGCGUGAGUGAUGAAGGUCUUCGGAUCGUAAAACUCUGUUAUUAGGGAAGAACAAAUGUGUAAGUAACUAUGCACGUCUUGACGGUACCUAACCAGAAAGCCACGGCUAACUACGUG